GACGAACGCUGGCGGCGCGCCUAACACAUGCAAGUCGAACGGAAUCGAGAGGAGCUUGCUUUUCUUGAUUUAGUGGCGAACGGGUGAGUAACGCGUGAGUAACCUGCCCUGGAGUGGGGGACAACAGUUGGAAACGACUGCUAAUACCGCAUAAGCCCACGGUGCCGCAUGGCACUGCGGGAAAAGGAUUUAUUCGCUUCAGGAUGGACUCGCGUCCAAUUAGCUAGUUGGUGAGGUAACGGCCCACCAAGGCGACGAUUGGUAGCCGGACUGAGAGGUUGAACGGCCACAUCGGGACUGAGACACGGCCCAGACUCCUACGGGAGGCAGCAGUGGGGGAUAUUGCACAAUGGGGGAAACCCUGAUGCAGCGACACCGCGUGGAGGAAGAAGGUUUUCGGAUUGUAAACUCCUGUCGUUAGGGACGAUAAUGACGGUACCUAACAAGAAAGCACCGGCUAACUACGUGCCAGCAGCCGCCGUAA
RNAcentral lists this ribosomal RNA (484 nucleotides) under uncultured bacterium. RNAcentral's name for it is "partial 16S ribosomal RNA". It matches the Rfam family "Bacterial small subunit ribosomal RNA", at positions 28 to 523 of the family's 1533-position model. The record is from RNAcentral.